AGCCAUGGCAAUACCACCCUGCACUCGCCCGAUCUCAUCUGAUCUCAGAAGCUAAGCAGGGUCGGGCCUGGUUAGUACUUGGAUGGGAAUACAGCCUCAGCUGGGCGUGGUCG
Molecule: ribosomal RNA, 113 nt
Filed under: Heterocephalus glaber (naked mole-rat)
Lineage: Eukaryota; Metazoa; Chordata; Mammalia; Rodentia; Bathyergidae
Source: RNAcentral